RNAcentral lists this ribosomal RNA (773 nucleotides) under uncultured Neocallimastigales. RNAcentral's name for it is "partial large subunit ribosomal RNA". It matches the Rfam family "Eukaryotic large subunit ribosomal RNA", at positions 26 to 636 of the family's 3401-position model. The record is from RNAcentral. Lineage: Eukaryota; Fungi; Neocallimastigomycota; Neocallimastigomycetes; Neocallimastigales.
CGCAUCUGUGCAUGCAGUAUAUCAAUAAGCGGAGGAAAAGAAACUAACAAGGAUUCCCCUAGUAACGGCGAGUGAAGCGGGAAGAGCUCAAAUUUGAAAUCUUAAAGGGUUUCCCUUUACGAAUUGUAGUUUAAAGAAGUGUUUUCUGUUGAGGUUUUGGUAAAAGUUCUUUGGAAUAGGACAUCAUAGAGGGUGAGAAUCCCGUAUUUGACCUUUACUUUCAACUUUGUGAUACACUUUCAAAGAGUCGGAUUGUUUGGGAAUGCAGUCCAAAAUGGGUGGUAAAUUUCAUCUAAAGCUAAAUAUUGGCGAGAGACCGAUAGCGAACAAGUACCGUGAGGGAAAGAUGAAAAGAACUUUGAAAAGAGAGUUAAACAGUACGUGAAAUUGUCAAAAGGGAAGCGUUUGACACCAGUGUUGUUUUUCUGAAAAUCAAUUAAAGAACUGUUUAUGCUAAGUUGUUUAGACUUUAUCAGCUAACUGUUUAGUUUUGAGCUUUUCUUUAAUGCACUUUUCAGUUAACAAGUCAACAUCAAUUUCUUUUGCUGUAAAAAAGCUUGAGGAAGGUGGCUUGAGAUUCGUCUUAAGUGUUUAUAGCCUCUUGCCUAUGCAGUCGGAGAGAUUGAGGUCUGCAGCGUAGAUCCUUCGGGGCUAAAUGCAUUUGUGCUAAGUUAUAACAUUUUAUAGACAACUUGUUGACUAUGAUUUGUCUUGUAGCUUACUCGCUUAUGUUAUUUUACCUACGCUUAGGAUGUUGACAGCAGUAUAGACUG